GCCUACAAUCCCGACGGGGAUUAUUAUUUAUGCAUGCUAGGCAAGACGAGGGUCUUGGCCUGAAUCCUCGGGGACGAUCGACUUAUAACACCUGGACUCCAUGUGAAGUUAGGUGGCGUAGCUCUUGGUAAUUGGGAGUACGUUGGUGGCAUGUGGUCUUGUGAUAUCUGAUCUUGGUAAAUGGGAUAGGUAUCCUUGACAGCGUUUAGUGGCCUGAGUCAGCAUAUAGUUCAAGGAUGCAUUAGAAUAAAUACUUAUAGAGUAUAGGUAAAUAUGGGAUAAAGAUGCGCUUGUUCGAAUAAUUGUGGUUGUCAUGUAUAUAUAUUACUAUUUUACAUCCUAUUCCCACUUUUAAACUUGUACGUAAAUCUUAGCCCUGUAUUCUUUUUGUCUUGCAUCUUUGGAUCGAUCUAUGACGAUCAGGCGACGAGCUAGACCAUUUAGGAGGGAAGGCUAUGGAGUGACAGAUUACGAUAAUGUCAAGGCUGAAGGUUGCUAGCGUUUUGUCAAACGCUUAUCACAUCGUUACUAGUACGUAAUAUUAUAUACAGUCAGUAUAAGUGUCAGUCCUGUUGGACUAUAUGAGGUCCUUCUAUUAAGCUUUCUUUUGAUUUUCAUGUACUUUUAUUUUAAGUUUUAUCUACGUGGCAAGGCCAUUAGUCGUAACGGUGUCAA
Molecule: long non-coding RNA, 675 nt
Filed under: Lathyrus oleraceus (garden pea)
Lineage: Eukaryota; Viridiplantae; Streptophyta; Magnoliopsida; Fabales; Fabaceae
Description: Pisum sativum (pea) long non-coding RNA (PSAT_LNC023522)
Source: RNAcentral